RNAcentral lists this ribosomal RNA (469 nucleotides) under uncultured bacterium. RNAcentral describes it as "partial 16S ribosomal RNA". It matches the Rfam family "Bacterial small subunit ribosomal RNA", at positions 27 to 507 of the family's 1533-position model. The record is from RNAcentral.
GGACGAACGCUGGCGGCGUGCUUAACACAUGCAAGUCGAACGGAAAGGCCCUGCUUUUGUGGGGUGCUCGAGUGGCGAACGGGUGAGUAACACGUGAGUAACCUGCCCUUGACUUUGGGAUAACUUCAGGAAACUAGGGCUAAUACCGGAUAGGAGCUCCUGCUGCAUGGUGGGGGUUGGAAAGUUUCGGCGGUUGGGGAUGGACUCGCGGCUUAUCAGCUUGUUGGUGGGGUAGUGGCUUACCAAGGCUUUGACGGGUAGCCGGCCUGAGAGGGUGACCGGCCAGAUUGGGAGAGAGUGGCGCCCCGGGCGCCUGCGGGAGGAAGCAGGGGGGAGUAGUGCACAAUGGGCGGCAGCUUGAUGCAGCAACGCCGCGUGCAGGAUGACGGACUUCCGGUUGUAGACAGCGUUCCCCUGGGACAAAGCGUGAGUGACGCUAAUGUGAAAAGAGGCACCGGCUAACUACGUG